GUUUUAGGUCAUUACCCAUGUCUCACAAGGGUGAAGAAAGAGGAGCCAUUCCAGACCCAGGAGUGCUGCUUUUACCCAGACAGCAGCUCUGGACACAGACACACGGGACAGCACCGCUGAGCUUCCUGGUUAUAUGGCUCCUCUGCCUUCACAUUUGGCUGAUUCUGCAUCCACAGACCAGAGGAACAGCAAGAGGAAAAGGCAAAGCAGCUGAAGCCAGCAAACACUGUCCACCUCUUCCCAGAGACUGGCAAAACGCUCUCGCAAAGGGCCCGUUGCUGGGACGAGGUGGAUUCGGCUCUGUGUUUGCUGGGAUCCGCAGGUCUGAUGGUCUGCCAGUGGCCAUCAAGUACGUGCCGAACCCCAGAGAGACUGAAAGUUGACGGUCAGGGUCGGCUGCCGCUGGAGGUGGCGUUGAUGACCCGCGUCACUUCAGCUCUUGUCUGCCCCAGUGUCCUGCAGCUGCUGGACUGGUUUGACCAUCUCAGACGCUACAUCCUGAUCCUGGAGCGUCUUCUUGCCAAGAUCUCCAGCGCUUCUGUGAGGAAAACGGCUGUCUGGAGGAGCGUCUGGCCAGGAAAGUGCUGGUGCAGCUGAUCGUGGCGCUAAAACACUGUGAGAGCCGCAGCAUCCUGCACCAGGACGUCAAGCCAGAGAACCUGCUGAUCUCCACAGAGUCUCAGGACAUCAGGCUGUUGGAGUUCGGCUGUGGAGACCUGCUGAAGCGCUCGCACUACAAAUACUUUGCAGGCACUCCUGCCUACGCUCCUUCUGAUUGGUUUCGCAGACAUCGCUACAAUGCCACUUCAGCUGCAGUCUGGUCAGUAGGAGUGAAGCUCUACAACAUCCUGUGUGACUGUUUCCCCUUCAGAGGCGCACAGAGGGUCACAUCCCGAAGCAGACUGACCUUUCCUA
Molecule: non-coding RNA, 915 nt
Organism: Danio rerio (zebrafish)
Lineage: Eukaryota; Metazoa; Chordata; Actinopteri; Cypriniformes; Danionidae
Source: Ensembl